GAGGAAAAGAAAUCAACCGAGAUUCCCCCAGUAGCGGCGAGCGAACGGGGAGGAGCCCAGAGCCUGAAUCAGCAUGUGUGUUAGUGGAAGCGUCUGGAAAGGCGCGCGAUACAGGGUGACAGCCCCGUACACAAAAGCGCAUGUGCUGUGAGCUCGAUGAGUAGGGCGGGACACGUGGUAUCCUGUCUGAAUAUGGGGGGACCAUCCUCCAAGGCUAAAUACUCCUGACUGACCGAUAGUGAACCAGUACCGUGAGGGAAAGGCGAAAAGAACCCCGGCGAGGGGAGUGAAAAAGAACCUGAAACCGU
RNAcentral lists this ribosomal RNA (308 nucleotides) under Salmonella enterica subsp. enterica serovar Saintpaul. RNAcentral describes it as "partial 23S ribosomal RNA". It matches the Rfam family "Bacterial large subunit ribosomal RNA", at positions 213 to 559 of the family's 2925-position model. The record is from RNAcentral. Lineage: Bacteria; Pseudomonadati; Pseudomonadota; Gammaproteobacteria; Enterobacterales; Enterobacteriaceae.